Molecule: ribosomal RNA, 253 nt
Filed under: uncultured bacterium
Lineage: Bacteria
Description: partial 16S ribosomal RNA
Rfam family: Bacterial small subunit ribosomal RNA
Source: RNAcentral
UACGUAGGGUGCAAGCGUUAAUCGGAAUUACUGGGCGUAAAGCGUGCGCAGGCGGUGAUGUAAGACAGGGGUGAAAUCCCCGGGCUUAACCUGGGAACUGCAUUUGUGACUGCAUCGCUGGAGUGCGGCAGAGGGGGAUGGAAUUCCGCGUGUAGCAGUGAAAUGCGUAGAUAUGCGGAGGAACACCGAUGGCGAAGGCAAUCCCCUGGGCCUGCACUGACGCUGAUGCGCGAAAGCCAGGGGAGCGAACGGG